GCCGGGUGCUGUGGCGCACGCCUGUAAUCCCAGCAGCUUGUGAGGCUGAGGCAGGAGGAUACUGAGUUCAAAGCCAGCCUCAGCAAAAGUGAGACCCUGUCUCUA
Molecule: small RNA, 105 nt
Filed under: Marmota monax (woodchuck)
Lineage: Eukaryota; Metazoa; Chordata; Mammalia; Rodentia; Sciuridae
Source: RNAcentral